This is a long non-coding RNA of Empidonax traillii (willow flycatcher), 3130 nucleotides long. RefSeq lists it as uncharacterized. Lineage: Eukaryota; Metazoa; Chordata; Aves; Passeriformes; Tyrannidae. The record is from RefSeq and is a predicted model, not a curated record. The transcript is spliced from 3 exons.
CUUUUGAGUUUUAUGAAGGAGGAAUUCUGUUGGAGACAUGACCGACUGGGAGAAGAUAGAUUUCACACAGCUGGUCUAGAUCGAGUGUGGGUGCUGCAGAGUUGGUACUGAGGAGAGCUGAAGAAAAACAACUGAGGCAAAGGAGAUUCCAGUCAAACAGAAGGUUCAUCAUUCUGAACACAGAAGACUGAGUUGAAUUCUGAAUUGUCAUUUACCCUAUGCAUUUCCUUUGAGUCAUAUUUACCAUCUAACAGAAGUUUAUGGAAUUCUAGUUCCCCCUAUCAUCAGAUUUAAAAUAGAGGAAUUACAGAAGUGACAAACUAUUACCCACUGGUGCCCCAUUUAUUACAUCUUAGAAAAGUGCCAAGUCCUGUUUAGUGAGGGUGAGCGGGUGAGAUGUGCUGCACUAACAUCUGUUCAAAGUAUUUACUAACUACACAGUAAAUGUGACCAGCAGCUUGGUGCACUGAAUAGCAUCCCUUGCAAAUCAAAUCAAGAGAGGGACAAAUUCUCAUCAGAAGAGGAAUAUGCCAGCACUAAGUAUCAUCAUGACUUUGCCUUUGGAUGCUCAGGGCCCAGAGUUCACUGCCUGUCAAACUGUGCUUAUAGUAUGAUAGUCAUUGUCAGGACCUGAUACAUUGUUUUUCAUUCCCUGAGCAUUUUACUUCAGUGUAGUAAACCUCAUCAGGACAGAUAAGUAAAGCCCUUCAAGAAAGUAUUUUUAUAUGGGCCAACUCUGUAUUCAAAUUUGUCAUAUGUCCACACAGCACAGAGGAUUGUGUGGGAAGAGGAGUGAAAGCUUGCAAAACGACUAACUUAAUUGGAGCUCCCAUGGGAUGAGAAAAUGUGGACUGGGCUCUCUUGCCUCUCACCUUGGCAACAGGUAGUAUACACAGGGGUGUUGUGAAAUUAUGUUCUUUACCCAUACAGGAAUGCCUAUUAUGUCAGUCCUGUAAGCAGGCAGCAUUGGCUGAGCUUCCAUCUGCCUCCAGAGCUAACCCACUUUAUUCAGAACAAAGAGCUGAAUUAAAAAAAAAAAAGAAGGUGCAUUCUAGUGUGAUAUAGAAAUGUUACAUCAUGUGCUCAAAUAGUAACUAUGUGACCAAAUGCUGUUAUAAAUCAGGGCUUUGUCUAGCAGUGUGUAUUUUCUGAUCCCUCAGUUGGAUUUUAUAAUGCAAAUUCACAAAGUUUUGAUGCACAAUGAACACAGAUAAUCAGUAACCUGUCACAGUCGGCUGCAAAGAGAUUGCUGCUAUGUAGCUCUUGGCUCACUGUUUUUGCAUGCUCCCCUAUCUGUGCAUGUUCCUCACGGUAUCCUUAUUUGUAAGAGAUCCUGCCUGUACUGCAGGAGGAAGUAUCUCACAAGAGAUUUUUUUCUUCUUUCUUCAUGAAAAAAACCACCAAAAUCCAUAUAUUUGUGAAUGGUUACUUGGGGAGUUUGGGCUAAAACAUUAUUUAUAAUACAGAUAUGUACUGGCUGUCUGGAUGGAUUUUGAAAGAGAGAAGUUGAAAAAAAAAAAGUAAUUUGUAAUCCUUGCUGAACGGUAAGCAGAGUCAGGCAGUUUCCUACUCUUUGGAACUUAAAAAAAUUUCUUCCUAAUAAAGAGUAAUGCAAAGUUUCUGACAUGGAAAAAUUAGACACAGCAGGGAAGCAAAACUAGCAAAAGAGGUCGGAGGUCUGCAAAAUAAGGCAGCAAGGCUGCUAACCAGCUAAAAGAAAGAAAAGUUAGCAAGAUUUUAAAUAAUUAAUUGAAUAUGUGUGAAAGCAGUGGUGGGAGAAUGUAUUCUAGUAUAGGAAUAAGCAGGGAUUGGAGGACUACAUGGGAUGGAAACAGCAGGGUAUAACCAACUAAUUUAAACCUCCAUGUGUUGGAGGGAAGGUACCAGGUAAGGCGGUCAUGAAUACCUCAUACGGGUUUGCAGAUCUCUGCCCUGAUGGAAAACUGGAGCAGCCUUUCAUGGUAGGGGCUACAAGCGAAGAUAAAUGCUAAGGGGAGAAGGAAACAAAGUAAUGAUUCUACGCCAGAGCUAGUCUUCAUUUUUCUGCUUUUCCAUCUUUUCAGAUUCUGUUGCUUUUUGUCUCAUUUCAUAUGCUAAAUAGCCUGGGGACAGUGAGGUGCAGAACUUCUAGCGUACUCUAAUGCACUCUGUAACAUGUGGCCACUAAUUCUCUGUUCAGCCUCAUUCCAUACUUGUAUCACUGUAAGCUACCAUUAAAAUAGGAAACAUCCUUUGCUCCCAUGUCCUUUCAUUACUUUGGUUUUUUAUAGGCCUAAAGUAUGGGAGUUCCCAGCUCUGCACCAUGCUUUCUAGGAUGUCAGCUCAUGUGAUCAUUAAGCAUCAGAAUUUUUUGCUAUUCUGAAGUAAGUGCCUCUCAACAAGGCAAAAAGCACCCUCUGUCCCUCAAGUGAAACUUUAUGAAUGCCAGAACAUACUUGCAUGUCUUGCAAUGCUCUAUUUUGGCUUGCUGUGUAUUUCUCACUUGAGAUAAUGCUGCAAAUGUCUGUGAUGGAAAUAAAAGCCUCUACAUUUCUCUGCACUAAUUAUUGGCCUGCAAAUUGAAGAAAAAUGCUAUGAAGGGAGUAGCUGCUGGUAUUUUUAUGCUAACUUUUUUAUCCUUGAUAUCUUACUUAGUUGCCAGAUGCAAUGAUAUUAACCCUCGAGCCUCUGCUACAUGGAAAACUGCAGCAUUGGUGCUUUUGGAUUAUAAUUUGCCUUUUCUCUACAAUGUCUAAAUUAUUAGGGUCUUCAGUUGCACAGGAAACCCACACAUAAACAUUUUGGUGAAACCAUUUUCUCAGAGAACAUGUACAUUCGUGAACAUUGAUCAUGAAGAAUUGUUUACAGGAUUGUACUAGCUUGGACAAGGUUUCACUGUGUUCCCCUGGUUACUUCAGAAGAGCCCCAAACCUGCUACUUUCUGAGUGAUCUAGCUGACAUCUGAGGAACUAGAGCUUAAGUAACCUUUGCUUUGCCAGGUUUCAUUCAAACUUGAACGUCACUCUCCCUCAUCUGCAAAUUUGGAUUUCUAUACUCAAUAGUUUAUUUAGGUUGAACAACUCCCCCAAAAGAAGAUGACAGUGUACAGGCCUGAUUUCCACAUGGUGUUUUGGAUGUGCCUCAGGGCUAC